Molecule: long non-coding RNA, 3055 nt
Organism: Anopheles gambiae (African malaria mosquito)
Lineage: Eukaryota; Metazoa; Arthropoda; Insecta; Diptera; Culicidae
Exons: 6
Source: RefSeq, a predicted model, not a curated record
AAUACAAAUCCGCUAGCGCUAGAUUCUGAGCCAGCAAAAAUAUACACCUCUCUUCUUUUAAUUUCAAUGUUGUCAUUUAUUGUCAAAUCAAUUUGACAUAUCGAUAUGAACAACUUUUGACAGCGCUGUCACGCGACCACAUUGUUUACACACCGGCAGAUGAGCAAACAGCAAGCAACACACUCUUAUAAUUAAUUUGUUUUUUCAGUGCGAAUCGAUUAAAACAAUGCUGCUAAUAGCUGAGGAGGUGUAUCACAACAACAAAAACAAAGCAUGAUAGAACAAUAAAAGGACUGCGGAUAGAAUUGUACAUCGAAGUGUAUAUUUAUUCAUUAUAUGAUGACAUUGUCGGGCGAGAAGAAAGGGAAGCGAAAAUGAAUGGUGGGAGGGGAAGCCAGGUAGGUGCGGUGAGGAGAAACGAGUGAGAGGGCACUCAAAAAGCACUCAAAAUCACUCACGAGAGAUUUCAUUUCCCUUAACAAGUAUAGUGUUGUUAAGGGACUUCUUAAGGGACUUGUUAAGGGAGUUCUUUGCAGCGGGAUCCCCUCAUUCUCAAUGCCGCGUUUUUGGCUAAUCCUCGCUCCCACCCUUUCUUUCCUUCUCCUCAACGGACCCACCAUUCCCGCGAGCGUAGACCGAUCAAAAAAUUCCAGGAAAUUCGGGCAGUAAUUGUGCAGUUUUUUAUUCACAGAGCUAUUCGGGAAUAUUUCAAUUCUUGGUGGUGCGUGCUGGACGAACGAAACGUUGGCUGCUUUCUCCACCGAUAGCGCUUGCUGUUGGAAGAGAAACACUUGCUGUUUGAUGCGUUUGCCUGAGGAAUGAAAGAUAAAUCGAGCAUUAGAAUGGUGAACAAAACUAGUAAGGCCGCGGGACCAUGGGGAUUCUCAGCGCUCAUUUUCUCAAGCACUCAUGAGUCGGAACAAAAUCGGUUUUGAGAAUCUUUGAGAAUCUUUGAGAAGGUUGACGAUGCAGCGAUCGGUUAACUGAAAUAUGGAGAAUUGUGCUAUUUGUUUAUAGGAAAUCACUUUGGAAAAUGUAUUCAAUGUUUAUAAUUGAAAACGUUAAAAAAAAUGCGAUUAAAAACUGUUUUUCUAUUUAAAGCUCUAAAUAAAGCUUGAGUGUCUAUAUCAGUCUCUCAGGGUGAGAAAAAACUGACGACGGCCACCCCUCCCGACAAUGGCACUCAAAUUCGCUCAUUUUGUCAUGCCCCCCUCCCAACAAUGGCACUCAAAUUCUCUCAUUUUCUCAUGCCCUCUCUGUCACAUUCGUAGCUCGAUCUCCUUCUUCUGGGAUUUAGCGUUCUGAGCAAGGACCGUAAAGAUAUCAGGUCAAGUUAUAAGCCCGUUUUGACAGCUAGGUGGAAGAAGAAUCGACGAAGAAAACUGACAGUUAGUUUUCCGCUUUUGACGAACGCUUCAAGUUCUCGAAGAAAAAUUUCCAUUUUAAAUCACGGACUGUGUUCUAAUAAACUAAAAUAUUCACCCAAAUUGAUCUCCACCAAAUAUUGACCAUGCAAAACGUAAACAAUCCAUCAAUACAUAUACAAGCGGAAAACCAUCUGUCAAAAUCGGAGCCCAGGGGGGGGAUCGCCAAAAGCGCUAUAACUACACCUCAUUAUACAUUCCACCUUGGUUCUGAGCAUGCGGUUUUUGCAACGGCCAUUUCGUGCCGCUUCGAUCUCAUCACCUUCUCUCCCCUCCCACCUUCCUUUUUGAUCCCCGCUUUGGGGUUUGCAAAUUUUUGACAUGUCAAAUGAGAGUGAAGCCAAAAUGUAAACAGCAAGUGUUUGCGUGUGCGGCGAUCUUUUGAGUAUUUUGUGCAAAUUAUGUGAUAUUUCUUAUAAAAAACGUUUUGUUUUGUAGAUUAAACAUAAAACUAACCACGACAGUAUUAUUUAGUUGUGGUGGAAGCCAAAAAAAUAGCUUGGAGCAUUCAAUAAAGCAGGAUGAAAUUUUUAACCUUCAAGCACGACGCUGACGCUGAGGUAAGGUGUGCUUGUGUUUAAUUUCGAUGAUAGUUUCAUUUUAGGGUGUGAUUUGUGCCAUAUAACCUUUUCUGACGGGGAUUCUUUAGUCGACAUCGUCUGCAGCUGUUAAGCGGUGCAGAGGAAGGGGCUCGCUACGACCCUUCCCACACCCGGACGCUUUUUCCGGGGAUGAAGGAAAUGUUCCCGGCUAUAUGCGCAAAAUCUAACGGUAACCCGUGUUGUGAACGAAUCGGCAUAUGCGGUGCCGGACACUGUGGAAAUUGUACACAACGGGACGAUGUCCAGGCACGACACAAGAGUACGAUUACAUGCAACUGAUCUGCUGCAAGGAAAGGAUUUCGACGUGUGGAACAAGGAUGUGCUGAAUGCGUUCCUGAUCGAUAUCACGUGGAUAAUUCUACUGCGACUAUAAGGGAUACUUGCUGGAUUGUAUUCGUGACAGGGCCGGCCAGAAGGGUGUGGGCAAGUUGACGGAAAUUGUCGCAAUGUACCAUAGCGUUCCGGUGAUGCCAAAAGACGAAGCAGACUUCUCCAGCUACUUAUCCACGCCGAAGGAUGAACGUGCUCAGGGCAGCAAACAACUCGCCGGAGCACGGAGCGCGAAAGGCAUCGUACGCGCAAGGCUUCAUGCUGCUGCGCGAAGCGGAUGUAUGGCGUUGCUUGCUUGUACUUAAACAUAUACAUCUUUGAGUUGUAUGAGUCCCGUAAAUGGUCAUGACUUGAAAACAUACGUUCCCAUUAGACCUCAUCAAUAGAUCAUUUAAUAAACGACGGCGCUGUAUUGAAAGCGGUUCAUGGUAGACCUCAAAACUGGUUAGCACUUGAUAAAAAGUUCUACACAAGGACACUCCUGGGAACUACUCGUCGAAGCAUCGGGAGCUCGUCCGACGUUUGAUGUCAUGAUUAUCUAAAAUAAUAGGUACAGAUUUACCGGAAGCCGAACAACUAUUUCACUAACUAAUACGAGCUGGAAUAGGAAAAAACGUAAAUCCGGAACUGAUUUUUAGCUACUCAAAACGACGCCACUUGUCGACUUGUUAUUGUUCAAUAAAACGCAUGCAAACCAAA